Long non-coding RNA from Anolis carolinensis (green anole), 648 nucleotides. RefSeq lists it as uncharacterized. The record is from RefSeq and is a predicted model, not a curated record. NCBI's taxonomy places the organism in Eukaryota, Metazoa, Chordata, Lepidosauria, Squamata, Anolidae. The transcript is spliced from 3 exons.
GGCUUAUGUAAGAGAAAAUUGAAUGAGACACAAUGCAGAGAGAAACAUGGCAGAAUCAGAUAUGGAUUUGGGUGUCACAACUCUGGUUAAUGUGUUGUUGAAGGCUUUCAUGGCCGGAAUCACUGGGUUGCUGUGAGUUUUCCGGGUUGUAUGGCCAUGUUCCAGAGGCAUUCUCUCCUGAAGUUUCAUCCCAUAUCUAUGGCAGGCAGAGGUUUGUGAGGUCUGCUGGAAACUAGAGAUGAGGACACGAACCACUGGAUUCAAAUUACAAGAUAAGAGAUUCCACCUAAACAUAAGGAAGAACUUCUUUACUGUAACAACUGUUUGAGAGAGGAAUAGACUGCUUCAGAAGGUAAAAAACCCUCCUUCUAUAAAGAUCUUUCAAUGGAGGUUGAAUGGGCAUUUUUUAGGAGUGCUUUAGUAAUGUAUGACAAAAGAAGUACUAAGGAGCCAUGGUGGCGCAAUGGGUUAAAUCCCUGUGCCAGCUGUACUGCUGACCUGAAGGUUGGGUUGCUGACGUGAAGGUUGCCGGUUUGAAUCUGUGAGAUGGGGUGAGCUCCUGUCUGUCAGCUCUAGCUUAUGGGGAUAUGAGAGGAGCCCAGCAGGAUGGUAACACACCCGGCGUCUCCUGGGCAACAUCUCUGUAGA